GUAAAUGUUUCUUCUCCAAUUGGAUGAUGAUAAGACUGUGACACGGGAUGCCACCUUUAGUCUUGUGAUGAAGCAAAGCUCAGGAAGAAGUGUGAUUAAAUGGUACCCACAUGUGUGCUGCUGAGAAGGAUGUACAGGGGCACCUGCAGCCAAAUCCAAGCCUCCUCAGCAACUUCAAGUCUGUCAGCGUGCUGAGGUCACAGAAACAAGAAAAGCAGCUUCAGACUUCAGAGUGUUGUUUACAGUUUUCUGUCAUCAUGAUCUCCCCUGAAGUUUAUCAAGCAAGCAGAGCGGCAGUUUGUGCUCACAGAUGGUGACGGUGUGGAGAGACGGUGGUGUUUCCUCAGAAGAACUAGCAGAGUCACAAAGGGCACGAGUCCAUCUCACCACCUUGACUUGCUGACUGAUGCUCGUCUGCACUGCACAGAGGAAAUCAACUGACCGAGGAAUGGAGAAAUGGAAUCAAAGGGAGAUAUUUUUGAUGUUUUUGUAAUGAUGUAAGUAAAUCUCCAGUUUCUGAGUGAGGGAGAGAGGAGUCAUCAUCCAGGUAAAGUGACGUGGAUCAGUGGAUACACUUGUCUCUCCUUUAAAGAAGAUACUCUUAGAGAGAGACGAUCCGAGUCAUCCCUAAAUAUGGACAGGAUAUCAGUCUUGGACUGUCUAACCUGCCGGAGCAGCACUGAAUGAUCACCACACAUGAUCAGUUCCUGCAACAUUCAGCAGCUCUGCUUUUGUGUCAAAUGUCAAACAGCUGGAGAGGAAACUACACCAGUGUACUGGGAUGUUUCACCAACACGUGCCAGACGCUGUUCCUUCAUGGUGACAUCACCAGAGACGGCCCGCCCACCUCAGGACCUCGCCAUUGAUCAUGAUGAUUAUAAUGAUGACAGCGAGCGGAACUAAGACUGUAAAAAUCCACGACCAGAAUGUUUAGAUGCUUUCUAAUUAUUAAUGAAUACUGAGAGCCUCUUUCUGUGUUUUGUCUGUUUUGUUUUGUUUUGUGUUUUACCUCAUUUGUUACUAACAAAGUUCACCAAACUCACACAGUUUACAUUCUGUAUGUUUCCAUCUUUACCAGCCACACUCUUAACUGCAAUUAAGCAAAUAAUCCUUAGAAAUCGUCGUUUUUCUCUUUUGUAAUUUUGUAAUUCAGUGAAUAUACUGCACUGCUUCCUUUUAUUGCGUCUCACAUUGCUUUAAGUUUUUCAGUGUUCAGUUAUUUUUUACUGUUGUUUGAAUUCUCUGUAUGUUUGACCCUGUAGACUGUUUGAUGGACUGCUUGUCUUCCUGUUUGUAGCCGCCGCCUGUUUUUGACUAAAGAUUUGGAUUUGUGACUUUAACACAGCCUCUGCGUGUCCUCCCUUUGUGUCCUCUUCCUCUGUGAAUGUGUUGCAUGUGUCACAGAUUCAUUUAUUAACAGCUUUCCCACAGUCAGUUGCAUCAGCAUUCAUU
Long non-coding RNA from Oreochromis niloticus (Nile tilapia), 1452 nucleotides. RefSeq lists it as uncharacterized. The record is from RefSeq and is a predicted model, not a curated record. The transcript is spliced from 6 exons. NCBI's taxonomy places the organism in Eukaryota, Metazoa, Chordata, Actinopteri, Cichliformes, Cichlidae.